RNAcentral lists this ribosomal RNA (497 nucleotides) under uncultured bacterium. Its description in RNAcentral is "partial 16S ribosomal RNA". It matches the Rfam family "Bacterial small subunit ribosomal RNA", at positions 28 to 507 of the family's 1533-position model. The record is from RNAcentral.
GACGAACGCUGGCGGCGUGCCUAAUACAUGCAAGUCGAACGAGAGCGCCCGGUGCUUGCCCUGGUCAAUCUAGUGGCGAACGGGUGAGUAACACGUGGGUAACCUGCCCAUCAGAGGGGGAUAACAUUCGGAAACGGAUGCUAAAACCGCAUAGGUCUUCGAACCGCAUGGUUUGAAGAGGAAAAGAGGCGCAAGCUUCUGCUGAUGGAUGGACCCGCGGUGCAUUAGCUAGUUGGUGAGGUAACGGCUCACCAAGGCCGUGAUGCAUAGCCGACCUGAGAGGGUGAUCGGCCACAUUGGGACUGAGACACGGCCCAAACUCCUACGGGAGGCAGCAGUAGGGAAUCUGCCGCAAUGACGCAAGUCUGACGGAGCAACGCCGCGUGAGUGAAGAAGGUUUUCGGAUCGUAAAACUCUGUUGUUAGAGAAGAACAAGUGCUAGAGUAACUGUUAGCGCCUUGACGGUAGCUAACCAGAAAGCCACGGCUAACUACGUG